UUAAUGUAUUUUGUAUAUGUUUUCCUUAUGAAUUAUCCUCUUAUCCAACAACUGAUAUGCAUCAGUAAUUUUAGAAUUUGUAAUUACCAACUUAAAAAAAUUAAAAGGUUUCAGUUUAAUUGAGUUACAGUUGAAGCUAAUUCAGGAGAUGAACAAAAUCCUAAAAACCAAGGAAGGACUCGGUAUCAGAUAAAUCCAGUUAACACCUACAUCUAUCUAUCAUUUUGUAUUGAAAACAGCUUUAAUUACGAAUAAUGGCAGCGUGUUGUUGCUAAAAGAAGGAUUUGUCACAAUGAGUUGGUAAGUAACAACAUUAAUGAAGCAUAGUUGUGAAAUUUUUAUUAAACUACCCCAUAAAUCUCAACUCCUUCAACAUUUGUAACCUACUUUCAUCAUUCAUGUUUAAAGUUUAAAAUGUGUAAGUAGACCCUGGGUUCUACUUACACAUUUCUAAAUAGUUUUGUUUUUAAUUUAAACAACUUCUAAAGUAUGACAAAACAUACAAAAAAAUGCCCAAAAACUAAACUUGCACAGUUUUAUACAUGAAGUAGAAAGUGAUGUCUUUGACAUUUGUAGGCAGUUGGAAAGAAAAAAAAAAAAAGUUAUUUUUUGUCUCCAAUUAGAUAUAAAGAGGAGCCAUAAGAUUUCCACCCUUGGAAACUGAAAAAUGAUCUCAAAUUGAUGCCUGUCGCUAAUGUAAUGUCUGUAACAUCGAAUUGGUUACACUUCAGUUACUUUUGGUUAUGUUAGAUGUUAAUUGAAUCAGAAAGUAAGGGAUGACAUUGAGAAUAUUUUUCAUGUUUUGGUUGGGUAAACAAUUGGUAAUAAAUUUUAAUUUUCAUGUUUUUGUUUCUAAAAAUCCCAUACAAAAAUUAAAAAGGAGGUGUCUUUAUUUACUUUUGAAGGAAUUCUGUUAUGCAAUUUGUCAUAAACAAAUCACAAAAUUUUGUUACUGAAGCUUCGGAUAGUUAUGUUGGAAUAUUAUUGUGUUCAAAUUACAAAUUAUUAGUUUUCGUAAUAGAUACAAAAAGGUGUAAUAGAGUAGUUUCGUUAAAAAAUCAGUUUUUUCGUAAAUGCUUUUUUUUAUUUAAGGGAAUUUGUUAUUGUUAUAAACAAAUGGUUCAAAACCAAAGCUGUUUUAUUUUAAUGUUUGUUUUUUAUUCGUUAAUUCAGUGGUUUUAUUUUGGCUACGUAAGUAUUUUAUGAACACGUUUUGAGGGAUUUUGGAAUUUAGUGUUUUAAUCAGGGUUACUGAAUUAUUGAUUUUUGAAAACAGAUUAUCAAUUAUUUAGUUGGGGUUGUAGCUAAUUGCAAAGUUAAGUUUAUCUAAAAAGGCCUAGUUGGCGUUAUAGCUCCACUACGUUUUACUGAUUUUGUCACAAAAAUUCUUACAGAACAUCGAUUCCACUUCGAAAUACAAAUUUAAAAAUGUUUUUAUUUCUUAAUUAUUAACAUAAAAAUAAUAAUUAAGAAUUGCAACUGCCGCCCGAUGGCUAGAACACUUGACAGUGAA
Agrilus planipennis (emerald ash borer) is the source of this 1513-nucleotide long non-coding RNA. RefSeq lists it as uncharacterized. The transcript is spliced from 3 exons. The record is from RefSeq and is a predicted model, not a curated record. NCBI's taxonomy places the organism in Eukaryota, Metazoa, Arthropoda, Insecta, Coleoptera, Buprestidae.